UGUAAGCUAUUAAGGGCGCACGGUGGAUGCCUUGGCAUCAGAUGCCGAUGAAGGACGUGGUACACUGCGAUAAGCCUCGGGGAGUCGUGUGCAGACGCUAUAUCCGAGGAUUUCCGAAUGGGGAAACCCACCAGGGGUUAAUGCCCUGGUACUAAUGCCUGAACACAUAGGGUAUUAGGGGGAACGAGGUGAACUGAAACAUCUUAGUAGCCUCAGGAAAAGAGAUUAUUCCCUCAGUAGUGGCGAGCGAACGGGGAAAAGCCCAAACCAAUGCCUAUAUGGUAUUGGGGUUGUAGGACUUUGCAUAUAGAAGUUACAAAACUGUUUGAUAGCAGAACCUUUCUGGAAUGUUAGGCCAUAGAGGGUGACAGCCCCGUAUGCGAAAUUGAACAGUCUUCUGCAGAGUUCCUGAGUACGGCGGGGCACGCUAACCCUGUCGGAAGCUGGGAGGCCCACCUUCCAAGGCUAAAUACAUCUGAUGACCGAUAGCGAACAAGUACCGUGAGGGAAAGGUGAAAAGCACCCCGGUAAGGGGAGUGAAAUAGAACCUGAAACCGUGUGCCUACAAACGGUCGGAGCACUAUGGCCUUCGGGCAAUGUGUGACGGCGUGCCUUUUGGAGAAUGAGCCAGCGAGUUAAUCUUAGUGGCAAGGUUAAGUCAGAAACAGACGGAGCCGUAGCGAAAGCGAGUCUGAAUAGGGCGUUGUAGUCGCUAGGAUUAGACACGAAACCAGGUGAGCUACCCAUGGGCAGGCUGAAGCGAGGCUAAUCCCUCGUGGAGGGCCGAACCCACUAAUGUUGCAAAAUUAGGGGAUGACCUGUGGGUAGGGGUGAUAUGCCAAACGAACUUGGAAAUAGCUUGUUCUCUCCGAAAUAGCUUUAGGGCUAGCGUCGCGUGUUUAGUAUCGGGGGUAGAGCACUGGAUGAGUUAGGGGGCGCAAGCUUACCGACCUUAACCAAACUCCGAAUACCGAUACUCCAGAGCGCGGCAGUCGGACUACGGGAGAUGAGUUUCGUAGUCGAAAGGGAAACAACCCAGACCGCCGGCUAAGGUCCUUAAAUCUAUGCUAAGUGGGAAACGAUGUGGGGGUGUUUAGACAGCCAGGAGGUUGGCUUAGAAGCAGCCAUCCUUUAAAGAGUGCGUAAUAGCUCACUGGUCAAACGCUCCUGCGCGGAAAAUGUAACGGGGCUUAAGCAUAGUACCGAAGCCACGGGCUUUGACAAUAGUCAGAGCGGUAGGAGAGCGUUCU
Molecule: ribosomal RNA, 1250 nt
Filed under: Candidatus Thermofonsia bacterium
Lineage: Bacteria; Bacillati; Chloroflexota; Candidatus Thermofontia
Description: bacterial LSU rRNA
Rfam family: Bacterial large subunit ribosomal RNA
Source: RNAcentral